This 903-nucleotide ribosomal RNA is filed under the name uncultured bacterium. RNAcentral's name for it is "bacterial SSU rRNA". It matches the Rfam family "Bacterial small subunit ribosomal RNA", at positions 54 to 947 of the family's 1533-position model. The record is from RNAcentral.
CAUGCAAGUCGAGGGGAAACGACAUCGAAAGCUUGCUUUUGAUGGGCGUCGACCGGCGCACGGGUGAGUAACGCGUAUCCAACCUGCCCAUCACUUGGGGAUAACCUUGCGAAAGUAAGACUAAUACCCAAUGACGUCUCUAGAAGACAUCUGAAAGAGAUUAAAGAUUUAUCGGUGAUGGAUGGGGAUGCGUCUGAUUAGCUUGUUGGCGGGGUAACGGCCCACCAAGGCGACGAUCAGUAGGGGUUCUGAGAGGAAGGUCCCCCACAUUGGAACUGAGACACGGUCCAAGCUCCUACGGGAGGCAGCAGUGAGGAAUAUUGGUCAAUGGGCGAGAGCCUGAACCAGCCAAGUAGCGUGCAGGAUGACGGCCCUAUGGGUUGUAAACUGCUUUUAUAAGGGAAUAAAGUGAGUCUCGUGAGACUUUUUGCAUGUACCUUAUGAAUAAGGACCGGCUAAUUCCGUGCCAGCAGCCGCGGUAAUACGGAAGGUCCGGGCGUUAUCCGGAUUUAUUGGGUUUAAAGGGAGCGUAGGCCGGAGAUUAAGCGUGUUGUGAAAUGUAGACGCUCAACGUCUGCACUGCAGCGCGAACUGGUUUCCUUGAGUACGCACAAAGUGGGCGGAAUUCGUGGUGUAGCGGUGAAGUGCUUAGAUAUCACGAAGAACUCCGAUUGCGAAGGCAGCUCACUGGAGCGCAACUGACGCUGAAGCUCGAAAGUGCGGGUAUCGAACAGGAUUAGAUACCCUGGUAGUCCGCACGGUAAACGAUGGAUGCCCGCUGUUGGUCUGAAUAGGUCAGCGGCCAAGCGAAAGCAUUAAGCAUCCCACCUGGGGAGUACGCCGGCAACGGUGAAACUCAAAGGAAUUGACGGGGGCCCACACAAGCGGAGGAACAUGUGGUUU